CACCAUUGUGCGACUUUGAGAUGUUACUCAAAUGUUUGACCUGUUUUAAGCUUGUUCGUGAUAACCAAACUCUUUUCUAAUGGACGAUUACAUUGAAUGACUCGAUUGCAUUCAGUGCAUGUAUGUUACAUUAUAAUAUUCAUGGUCAUGACAAUGCAUGAUUGCUAUCAUGUGUUCACAAUUUCUCACCGUCACCUUUGGAUUUCCUUACCAUUUAAGUGUAUGGGAAGUUUGGCUCAUGACAACAUUUCACAGCGCAGUCUCACAGUUGGAAGUCAACUCAAUUCGAAGCAAUGCAAGUGCUGAUGUCAGAGGAAGCUGUGACUCCUGUUCGAUGGAAACAGCGGUGGGAGGGAUAUAUGACAGCAGAAUAUCAACAAACAACAUUGACUGUUUUUGAGAUAAGUUUAAGAGAUUAAGGCAACAGUGGAUCAGACAGGCGCUAACUAGUCAGUAUGAAUCAUAGUUUCGGCUCUGCAGUAUAGCUCAAUCUGUCAACAUUGCAUGACAUGAUUAUAAUGACAUUUCCUGCAUUGUUUUAUGCAAAUGAUAUACAAAUUGCAUUUGCAAUGGUAGAAGCACAUUGUUGUGUUUCAUCAUUACAUUGUUUCAAAUACGCUUUGCUGUAUUAACAAACGACCCUAACAAAUCAAAGGUCUACUCAAAACAUGGAUACUAGCAAACACAGUUAGAUUGGCGUUACUAUUUCAUCUAUUUUUCAUGGACUUUAAUGCAUUUAUGGCCAGGACAGUGAAGAGAAAGUGAGACAGGUCAGUGAAGAGAGUUAGACAGGUCAGUGAAGAGGGAGUGAGACAGGACGGUGAAGGGUGACAGGACAGUGGAGAGAGUGAGACAGGACAGUGAAGGGUGACAGGAAAGUGAAGAGAGAGUGAGUCAGGACAGUGAAGAGAGAGUGAGUCAGGAAAGUGAAGAGUGACAGGACAGUGAAGUACCUCAGGAAAGUAGGUGGACAGGGAGAAGAAAGGCCAAUAGCAGAUUGGAUUUUGACCUGGGUGAGGGUUUUUGAAUCAACCCUUAUCAAUCUUCUGGAAUAAAAUGGGGUUUUCGUAAAAGACUCACACUGUUGAGCUGUUAGCCCUUGUUAAGGAUGGUUUGGUCCAAAAAUUGGACAAAAUUUGUUUGUUUUGGCAAUAUCACCCUCUCUUAAGCCUUUCAGGAUGUAGUGUAAUGAGUCCACAUUUCUGAUAUUCUCACAUUUGAUUAGACUCUGUAUCUGGCUCUGCUUUGUUUAACAGCACUACCUCUCACAUCUUCUCCCUCCCUCGCUCUCUCUCUCUCUCUCUCUCUCUCUCUCUCUCUCAUUCCCCUUUCUCUCUCUCUCUGUCUCUCCCUCUCUCUCUCUCAUCCCCCCACCCCUUUCUCUCUCAUUCCCCCUUCCUUUCACUCUCUGUCUCUCCCUCUCUCCCUCUCCCUCUCAUUCCCUCUUUCUAUCUCUCUCUGUCUCUCUCUCUCAUUCCCCCCUCCCUCCCUCCUUCCCUCCCUCCCUCCCUCCCUCCCGCCUGCCCGGGUCUUGGAUCGGCUUUAGGAGUCCUGGAGGAUUAGUUCAUGUCUACGGUACUGCUGCUGGUCUGCAUCAUUACACUCUAGACGGCGGCGGUGGCUUUUAUGAACAAUGUCUUAGCCGGGCGUAGCUCUGGAGCUUCUCACAAAGCCAGCUGGCUCGGUCUCCGGCGCACUAGUCCCUGACACGGACCAGCGAUCAUGCUAAUACAUGGUAAUAACACGGAGCUUUAGGGACUGGGAUCCGAUGGAGCGGGCGGGCGGUGUUGGGGGCAGUGUGGGGACGGAGAGGGUUGCCAUAGGCGUUGUUUCACGGCCACCAGGAGCACACAAAGAGCACUUUUGUAAUCGUCUAAAGCGCUUCAUUAUUGAUGAGGUUAAGGCCCAAUCCCAAUCCUACCCCUUAACCCUUCCCCUUACCCCUUCAAAACAAGGGGGAGGGGUAAGGGGAAGGGGUAAGGGGUAGAAAUGGGAUUGGGCCUAAAUUGAAUGCAAAUCAGCCGCAGGACCCAGGCACUACCGCUGUCCUGGGCCCAUCUGUCGAAACGUGUUGCCUCGUAGAUGCGGUCGUAACGAUGACACUAUAUGUGUCUGGCACACUCUUGGUCCUAGUCGGCAGUAGCUUAGGAGGUAGAGGGGGUUGGAUGGUAACCGCAAGGUUGCUAGUUCGAUCCCUGGAGUGUCGAGGUGUCCCUGAGCAAGGCGCCUAACCUUAACUGCCUCCGGCGAACCUGCUGUCACCUUGCAUGGCUGACACUGCCGUCGGUGUGAGAAUGUGUGCAUGAAUUGGUGACUUUUAGGCAACAUUGUAAAACGGUUUGGGUAAAAGUGCUAUAUAAAUGUAGUCCUUCCAUUUACCAUAGUCUUAAUGAGGCAUAAGAAAAAUAGACAUCUUUAAAGCCUAAAUGCUAAAAACAAAAUAUCAUGAUUGGAUGUAAAUAAUUUGAUCUCAUUUUUAUUAUAGAUGAUCAGAAUAUCAUAACUUCACCAAACGUGUCUUCAGAAUAAAAACGCUUUGUUUGACAAAAGAAGGGAUCCAAAACAACAUUUUAAAUUAUUUUCACACAUAAGAACAACAGCAUAAGGAUUAUAUCUAAUGUGUGAUUUACAUAACUACACUUACAUAAUCAGCUCAGUGUAGGGCACCACAUUAAAAGCAAGUUAAAGGUUGUUUCAACAGAACACAAUAAGUACCAAACAGAUCCCCCGACCACACCACAUUAACAACACAUAUUUUUAUUUGAAACAUUAUGACGGUGCUACGGCCCCUACACGGCUCCGCUGUCCUUUUAUGGAGACGAUAUUCUUGUCUGCGGCCGUAGCAGCUGCUGCAGCCUCCACCCAGCAACCUAUGGAACACUGGCCCUCCAUCGGUUCAGACGGCUACCGCGGCGACACCUCGACCGCCAGAGAACACCGGCCCGGCUUCCCUCAUUCCCCAAAUAGUUGUGCUGUAAUGGUGCAGGACCACGGGACCACAUGAUGGAAAGGACUGCACUUAUCUUUGGUGCUGGGGGAGUUGUUUUCGUUUUAGGUGCACCUGUGUCGUUUUUUUCCAUUGAGAGACAGACUUUCACCUGGCUUUCAUGUAGCCAUGAGUGUUUUUCUUUUCUUUUCUUUUUUGUUCGACUUGCCCAGAGGUUUGUGCUUUUUUUUUAUGGGCUUUUAAGUUCAGAGACAUUCCGUUGAAAGAGGAUUCGCCCUCCAGUUUAAAACAAGCCAUCCAAACAAACAUCUGUGUUGUGUUCAUGAUCUUUAAUAAUAGUAUAGCAACGCUCACUGAAGUCGUCUUAUAUUAUAGAAACAAAUUUUAAGGUUUAGAAUGCUGCAUGGUUAUGCAACACACUUCUCACAUCAGUCACUUAAAAGUCUAUAAAUGAUCAUAUUGAAGCAAUGUUGGAUAAACGUCUACAUUGCUACUUGUCGUCUUCUAUAUCUUGAAUGAUGAGGUGGAACAGCGACGCAGAUCAAGACAUCUGAGGUGAAGGUUGUCUGGACCGCUAAUCGCCAAAAACUGGCAGGUUGCCCAUGGCUUCCUGUUGGAACUAUCUUGUCUGAUGAGCAGAAUCCUCUCAACGUCAAUAUAUCACUUCCAUUGAAACGGCCCUGGUCAUAUCUGCUUUUCCUGUCUGGUCUCUAGAAUGUUCUCUGGCAUUCGAUGACAUCGUGUCUUUCCAAAUUCUGUGUACUGUCGACAGUUCAGUUGCAGGCCUUUUGUUGUGGGUAUGAUAUCUCAGGUCGAGAAAUGCACGGAAUGUCUUUUUAAAAAAGACAAUUCAACUGGUAAACUCCUUUUUUACUGGAUGUUUAGUCUAGUGAGCUUUGGGAUUUCCUUGAAGGGUUCAUUCAUUGUCGAAAGUUGAUGCUUUCACUUGAAUGCAGCAAAGCCAUUUCAUGUAUUUGUGUUAGGCCUUCAGUGUUUACCACUGUAGUUUACAUUUGUGGCAGUGGGUUCCGCCAUAACUGUACAAGUAAAAUACAAGAGAAGAAGCAGUGAAGCAGACAGAGGAGGGUUUUCAAACAUAGGUAAAUCCUCCCACACGCCUCGGUUUCCCAACCCAUGCUAAACUGAUAGAGAGACUAUGUUCAAGGAGGAACACUGCUUCGCUUCAAGUGGAUCUCUGGACUUGGCAGGUUGAGCACUUCUCCUAGCCUUAUGUCAGUCCGUUGGCAGAGCCAGGCAUUAACGCUGCACAGGUUCAAUGGUUUGAUUCCCACUGGGGCAACUCAUGUUAAGAAAUGCAUACCCUCAUGGCUUUUGAAGUCCGAACGGUUGGCAUAGGUUUAUUUAUUUAGAGUAAAACUCUUUAAUGGGCUACAGGGCUGCCCCAUCACUGUACUCUUCCCCCCCCCCCCCCCAUCUCCAGUCGGAAUCCAUGCCCGUUUCAUCCCUCUGUUCUGGUUUGUGUGGACAAUAAAGCUCUUAUCAGUCCUACAUGUCAGCCGAAUUGUACAGCAGAUUUCCGAUUCCCAUCAGUUCCCACUGGGGCCACCCAUGGCAACGCAUGCACUCCCAGUAAUUAAGGCACUUUGGAUGCAAUGAAUCCAUCGAUGGCAUAUAGAAGAACCCUGACACGGUGCAUCUUGCCAUAACUGUUGCGGUACAUCGAUCGGACCGGCGAACAAAAGACUAGACAGCAGCGAUCUAGAUUGGAGGGACACACUGUCUUAACACUGCUACUGUACAUCAAACAAUUAGCCGGCUAGUGACCAGCUAACGUUCCACUGGCUUGGUUUAAGAGCCUUUUUAAUGGGAGCUGCGUUGACUCAAUUAUGAUAACCCAAUAAGGCAGAGAGAGUGUUAUCAUGGAGGCUCUUCAUGUACUCUGCAGCAACGCCUCCCGACAGGCAAGACAGGACAGGAGGACGUGUUUUAAUGCUUCAGCUUCCUAGCCUGCGGGGCCUGUAUUUCCGUCUCUCUCAGCCUAAGGGAUACACUGAUGUGGGAUUUUUAAUCAACAACUCCUCAGUAUGUUGUACACUAGUAUGACAUGGGUGAGAUGGUGCGAAGGAUCCCUAAUGUAUGUUGCUAUGUGGGAUAGCAACAAAAUACAUUGGGGAUAAUACAAAAAAUAAAGUAGUAACGGUAGGGCUAAGUAAAACAUAAAAUACGAAAUUUGUGGUACUAAUUAAGCAGUUAAAAAUAAAGCAACCACAGGUAGAAACAAUCACAUCCAUCUGGUGGACGGGGGAAGCUACCAGGUUCCAGUGAUAUGCACAUAGACACUUAGACUCGCUUUCGUCUGGAAGUCCUUGAGGUUUUACUAAAACAAGAUAACGCACGCUCCUCUGUCAAGAGGUUUCGACCAGCCAGUGAUCGAUUCCUUCCAGUGCCAAGCCUCCAGCGGACGUGAAAGUGAACCACUUUCCCCCCGUCAUACCCGGCCCGACCCGCAGCCACUAGGCUACGCUGGCCAUAAUCUGUUGAGAGGAUCUGUGUGGAUUAGGCCGGGAGUUACCGGCCUCAGUGGAUGACCAGUCCCCCCGGGCCAACCCAGGGGAUUUUUAUAACAAAACAUUUUCAUAUUUUUCUGCCAUGCGUGCGUUAUUGUUAAUUAAUUUGAAUUCAUAUUCAUAUGCCGUUUCCUUCUGCAACGCAAAUUUUUAUAUGCAAGGAUUGUCCUCGCUUGUAGGUCGCUGUGGAUAGAAGGGUCCGCUGAAGGUCAAUUUGCUCACUGAGUGACGUAUUCAGUGCAUACGUGCACCUUGUUUAGUGACCGUUUUCAUAGAGGAUCUUUGUCUCCCCCUACUUCACAUCACGCUACUGUCAAAACCGCUAAUUGCUAUUCACAUCACCUCACUCGUGUCACUAUGACGAUAUUGUAUUCUAGAACAAAAAAAAGACGAUCAUCUUGGACAUACACUACAUGCAGGUAGCUGAACGAUGAUCUCAACAGAGAGUUGACAACAAUCUCAACUUCACAGGCAAGAUAUAGAGCAGCAUGCCACAGCAAAGCAGUGGGUCAGCAGUCCUCCCCAAGAACAUUUUGUGAACUUUUGCUCGUCCUGGUCUGUUGUUGUUGUUGUACGAAUGCCAAGUCCUAAACGGAGAGUUCGUUGAGCUCUGUGACCGUCCAGAAUGUGUUGGAGGUUUAUUGUGAAGGUGUGUGUGUAGACCAGACUACUGAGGACAGAUAUAGCAGCCCUGGAGGAUCAAACCUGGCCUGCAGAUCACAUUUCAGUGCAGUAUAACGGCUUCUGAUGUAGUUCAACUCAGUUCACCACAGAGCUAAGGUAGUGAUUCUUACAGAAUUGAAACUAAAUACUAAUAAAGUACCUCACAAGGACUUGGGAAAGGAAGGAAUAACAAGAGGGAGACAUAGGUUUAUUGUAAUUAUGAUUCAGAUUCUAUUUGAGCUGCCCUUUUAUUGUGGAAGACCGUCUAGCCUGACUCGGCUUACUCAGGAGGACGAGUUCAGGUUGUAAGAUCUUAAGUGUCUCUUUUGUACUCAAGCGGCCAUGCUCUGAAUAGCCGGCUCAUAGUUGGCUGACAGUUCUCUGACUGUUCUCGUAAGAUUAAAUUCGUUCGGGAACGACAGUGAGGUGAGUGAUUCAACCACGCGUUUAAGAGAACAACGCGAGGAGCCAGUUGGCUCAUGUUGACUGUUGAUCGAGCUUAAGCUCUUUAUGAAGGGUUUUCAUCGGCUUCACACGCAUUUGACCAAGGAACCUAAGACUGAUACAGGCUGCCCCUAGGGCUGUUCUUAUUCAGACCUCCACCAUAAACGUUUCAUUUCAAACUUUGAUUCCAACAUCUAGGUGACACACUUUGGUCUUCUCAUACAAUUUUCACACUGACAGGAACCAACUUUCAGCAUAUUCUUUAAAAUCAGGGGCUCACCAAUGUAAUGUUUGUUUGCCACACAUUUGAAUUAAAAUCUAUCUGCGCCAGCAUAUUUACUAUUAUAAGCUUUUUUUAUAUAUACAUUUUGACUUUUGUCUUGUAUUGUCUUUUACUUAUUGUCAUAAAGUUGUAUAAAACAUGAGAAAUAUCCCCCUUUCUGUUGAGCGGCUGAAUGAUCAGGAAUGUUGUCCUUCCUGUACCAGUGAGGUUAUGACCCCUGUAGCGGGCAGGUGAUCAUUCAGAGACGAUGAAUCCCGUUACAUCACCGCUCUCUAAGUCAACUGCAUUAGCCAAGUCAUGUGACUCCUGCGGUAGGCUUUUAACCCAACGGUGAUGUCAUCACUGCCAGAGACCUGUAACUGCCCUGUUGUCAUUUGGCUGAAAGGAGGUUAAGUGUUAGCAUUUGACUAGCUUAGCUUAGAUGAGGAUAGCUUAGUUGGCUAACCAGAUAACAAAAACAAGAGUGGUAGUAGAGAAUGCAUCUACAGUAUCUGCUAUACUGCAUCCAUUAUUAGCAUUGUUCUAUACACAUUUAGUUGAUUUAUUAUUAAGGAGAUACGCGUGAUUUGAGAUUGCCUGUUAAAUGUAAGCUCAUUGCACAACACAUUUUAAUAAUGAACUGAGACCAACACAGAGAAACUGAGACAAAUGCACUUGUGCAUAUGGACCCAUAAACACUGACUUUCAAAAGUUAAAACUACAUUUAUUGAGCCGCUUAUCCAUAUCCCAUGACUUGGUCACGUCGGUGUUGCAUGCAAUAAUUAUCAUGUUCUGUACUAACCGACACUGUGUCGAUCUUGUGAUACACAAGAUCUGAGCAGUGUAAUACUAAAGGAAUUUAGUAGGAAUAUCAGGAUUAGACCUCACCACGCCAUGGGUUAUGAUGGUAUUGGACUCAGCUCUCUUUUUCCUCGUUAUUAUCCAUAUUUAUAUGGGGUUUAUAUGGACAACCUGCCAUUUUCGGGACAGUGUCGACAGACAGGAAAGGGGAUUGAAAGAGGGGAAAUCACAUGAAAAUAUUCUGUAUGUGGAUGAGUCGUAGCACCCACCCAAGCUACUACUAUUACUACUACUACUAGUAUGCCUAUAGUAAUUGUUCACUUGGGAACAUUGAUAUUACAGGCAGAAAUUGGGUUAAAAAUUAUUUGUGGAAGAAGUUGGGGUCACAAGAUAUUCCGGAUUUAAUAACCCAGGCGUGGUUGUCGCAGGCUGCACUACAGUAGCACGACUUGUCUGAAUAGAAGGGGAACCGUCACGCUCAGCCCUUUCCUAACACAAGAGCGUACCACUUCAUCCACGUGCGAUACAUCAACUCAGUUUACGACCUCAAUGUUCCGAAUUGGACCAACAGAGAAUGGAAAUUCCCGAAAAAUUAGGACAACGGUCCGAACUUUUCUAACCGGAGUGCGUAGAGGGCAAAGUGUGGGGUCCGUAUUUUAGACUAAGGGCCCACACUGCCCCCUGUAGGCACCACAUGGUGUCAACAAGCAUGGCGCUAAUCCUCCGGCUGAGCCGAUGACCUUUAUCACACAGCUGCUGCUCCCCGCCAUUGGCCUCAGCCAUUCAUUCUCACUGCUCAUUGUCUGCCAACGUACGCUACAAUUAGCAUGUGGCUAACGGGUGGCACAGCGGCCGCAAAGGUUUAAUCAUACAUCUGCAGUCCAACAGCCACUGGUCUUUACUCCGAUGAGUGCGGUUAAGGUGUUGCCCUUCUGUGAUUUAGAGCGUUGUCGGCCAGUGUCAUCGGGCGAUUUAUAACAUGAGUUGUGGUGGCUGACCUCCUCAACUCGCUCCCUAAUUUUAGCACCCAUUUGGAGGCCCUAAGAGCCCUAACCCCUACCUGCCCCCUGACGAAUUGUAUAUGAACGCACUGUACUUAGCUUUGAAUAUACGCGUCUCAUAUGUGUCUUUAUGGUAGAUAUUAAUAAUAGAUAUGUGGAUAAUUAACAGGGUGCUGCUGAGACACAGCCACUCUACCCUGAGUAAACACAGGGCUCAUCUGUCUACAGGGUCAUAAGGCAAUUAUUCAUCCAUGAAAGUCAAUAUGAGAGAGUAUGUCACAAGCUUGGGUCGGUAUUCAGGCCACCGUACAACCCUGUUCCUCAGCUGAACUUGCAGGCCUUGUGGGCACCCGGAACCUGAGCUGCUCUAACUAUUUCUAUUCAGUGUGUGAAGCUCGAAUGACCUGACCUGUGUUUGCGACGUCAAACUAAAUGUCACUACCCGCCGUCGUACGUCUGGAGACUUAUUUGAAGGUUUGUGGUCGUGUUUGCUGUAGGUAGGACUGUAAGUGCUGAGUAGAGAAGCACUUGAAAGUUCAGAUGGGUUGUGUGUUUACUUUUUGGUGUUUACUCGUUGCUUUUGGCCGCUGGCUUUAUUUGUUGUCUUAUGUGUUUUCGCACUAGUUUUAUCUCAAAAAUACAAUUUGGCCACUGGCUAUAAUUGUUGUGAUACGUGUUAACGUUCCAGCUCGAUCUCAAAAAUACAUUUUGGCCCCUGUCUUUUUGAUCGAAAUAAAUAUCGCAGAUCUUUUCAGAAACAACAUAAGGUAGUUAUAAUGUCAGAGUUUUCAGUUUGGCCGUUAACUUUCUCCAUAGGGACUGCAGAUGUUCCAGCUACAACUGUACUAUCAAUAGUCUAGAAAAAAACUGUUAUUAGCCUUAUAGCCUAGAAU
Molecule: long non-coding RNA, 9539 nt
Organism: Gadus macrocephalus (Pacific cod)
Lineage: Eukaryota; Metazoa; Chordata; Actinopteri; Gadiformes; Gadidae
Exons: 2
Source: RefSeq, a predicted model, not a curated record